CAUAUUUUUGAAUUUGAAUUUUGGGAGAAAAUAACCUAUAAAUACUACAUGCUCUGUUAUGAAAUCUCACAUUUGAAUUGAAGCACAAAGAGAGAUAAACAGCAGGAAACAAGAGGUGAUUUAUUAUCGAAGCGAGCUUCACCGCAGAGGGGAUAAGCAACGAAAAAAAGUAAGCUGCUUCGUCGAGGAAAUGGUCACGCCAGUUACAGCCUCGCAGCCUCGCCGACCGCUAUAUCCCCACCAACUCGACGGCCGUGAGAGGGAAGAAAGGAUGCCGGAGUUUCGCCCGGAAUACUGAGGCAUGUGGCGUCCGGGUGGAGAAAUGGAGAUGGAGGGUUGAUUUACUGAUAGUCUUGACGACCAAUUUCUCCAUAGGAGGCUUGAAAGCUUACAUCCUGCAUUCUUGCUUUAUUUUUAUUUUUUUUAUUACCAGUAAUUAUUAUUUGUAUUUUUAUAUUAAUUAUUAAAUUAUUAAAUCAAAGUAGCCAUGGGCAUUGAGUCCAUGUCACAGUACUGUGGAUUAAUUAUUACAUAUAUAUGCAGUGAGAUGUUGUUUUUUUUGGAUUUGAUUAAUCAUUAAAGUUCUAAAUUUAAAAUGAUAA
Ipomoea triloba (trilobed morning glory) is the source of this 602-nucleotide long non-coding RNA. RefSeq lists it as uncharacterized. The record is from RefSeq and is a predicted model, not a curated record. Lineage: Eukaryota; Viridiplantae; Streptophyta; Magnoliopsida; Solanales; Convolvulaceae. The transcript is spliced from 3 exons.